GAUGAACGCUGGCGGCGUGCUUAACACAUGCAAGUCGAACGGGAAUUACUUUAUUGAAACUUCGGUCGAUUUAAUUUAAUUCUAGUGGCGGACGGGUGAGUAACGCGUGGGUAACCUGCCUUAUACAGGGGGAUAACAGUCAGCAAUGGCUGCUAAUACCGCAUAAGCGCACAGAGCUGCAUGGCUCAGUGUGAAAAACUCCGGUGGUAUAAGAUGGACCCGCGUUGGAUUAGCUGGUUGGUGGGGUAACGGCCCUCCAAGGCGACGAGCCAGAGCGGGCCUGAGAGGCUGCACGGCCACGUUGGGACUGGUACACGGCCCAGACGCCGACGGCAGGCAGCCGUGGGGAAUAUUGCCCAAUGGGUGAAACCCUGAUGCAGCGACGCCGCGUGAAGGAAGAAGUAUCUCGGUAUGUAAACUUCUAUCAGCAGGGAAGAUAGUGACGGUACCUGACUAAGAAGCCCCGGCUAACUACGUGCCAGCCGCCGCGGUAA
This 494-nucleotide ribosomal RNA is filed under the name uncultured bacterium. RNAcentral's name for it is "partial 16S ribosomal RNA". It matches the Rfam family "Bacterial small subunit ribosomal RNA", at positions 28 to 523 of the family's 1533-position model. The record is from RNAcentral.